CCCUGACUUAUUAUCAGCUAAUACUUAACCUUACACAUGCAAGCCUCCGCAACCCAGUGAGAACACCCUUAAACCUUCCACAAGAUAAGGAGUUGAUAUCAGGCACAGACACCUAGCCCACAACAUCUAGCCUCGCCACACCCUCAAGGGUAUUCAGCAGUGAUUAACAUUGAACAUAAGCGCCAGCUUGAUUCAGUUAAAGUAUAAUAGUGCCGGCUAACACGGUGCCAGCCGCCGCGGCUACACCGCUGGACACAAGUUGAUAACCCCCGGCGUUAAGCGUGUUUUAAGCACACUAAAACUAGAGUUAAAUUAUUAGUACAGACGUUAAAAUCUUACUUUAAAGAAACCCAAAAACGAAAGUUACUCUAAUUAAACGCUUGAAUCCACGACAGCUAGGAUACAAACUGGGAUUUGAUACCCCACUAUGCCCAGCCGUAAAACAUUAAAUUACACCAUAAAUCGCCUGAGAACUACUAGCACACGCUUAAAACUCAAAGGACUUGACGGUGUUCCAUCCAACUAGAGGAGCCUGUUCUAUAAUCGAUAAUCCCCCGAUAAACCUCACCACCUUUUGUCAGUCAGUCUGUAUACCUCCGUCGUAAGUUUACCGUAUGAAUGUUAAUUAGUAAGCUAACAGAUCGUUUUACAUCAGUACGUCAGGUCAAGGUGCAACCUACAAGGUGGGAAGAAAUGGGCUACAGUUUUUAGUUUAAAACACACGGAUUAUUAUAUGAAAAAUAAUAUGAAGGUGGAUUUAGUAGUAAGAGAAAAAUAAAGUGUUCUUUUUAAUUGAGCAAUGAAAUGUGUACACACCGCCCGUCACCCUCUUCGAUAAAUAAGCAAGUGUCUAUAACAAGAUAAAAAAUAUAAGAAGAGGCAAGUCGUAACAUGGUAAGUAUACUGGAAAGUGUGCUUGGCACAACAAAGUAUAGCUCAAUUUUAAAGCAUUUCGGUUACAUCGAAUUUAUACCUGUUUGAUUCAGGUUAUUUUGAGCUUAAGACUUCGCCUAUAAAUCUUUUUUUUCCUACUAUAUGAUAAAACAUUUAACCAAUUUAGUAAAGGUGAUUAAAAAAUUUAAUAAGAGCUAUAUAUAAAGUACCGCAAGGGAAUAGUGAAAUAGAAGUGAAAUAAAUAAGAAAGCUUAUAAAAGCAAAGAUUAACCUUGUACCUUUUGCAUUAUGGUCUAGCCUAGUUUUAGCAAGUAAAUAAUAAUAUUUAAUUUGUACUCCCGAAGCCGGGCGAGCUACUUAAAAGACAGCCUUAGGGGCCAACCCGUCUCUGUUGCAAAAGAGUGGGAAGAUUUUUAAGUAGAGGUGAUAUGCCUAUCGAGCCUGGAGAUAGCUGCUUGCCUUCGAAAAGAAUUUUAGUUCUGCCUCAAAUUUUAGAAUAGCGUAGGAAUAUUUAUUUGAGAGUUAUUCAAAUAUGGUACAGCCUAUUUGAUGUUGGAUACAGCCAAAGACUUUGGGUAAUGUAUUUUUCCUGAUUAAUUGAGUUGGCUUAAAGGCAGCCACCUACAAUAAGAGCGUUAUAGCUUAAUUAAUUUUUUUUUGUAAUUCUGUAAUAUAAACAAAACCCAAUCCUAAUAUUGAGCAUUUUUAUAAUUUAUAAAUGAUAUUAUGCUAGAACUAGUAACAAGAAAAAUUUCUCCAAAAUAUAAGUAUAAAUCAAGAAAGAAUUUUAAAAUACUGUAAUAACUUUUCAAGAAACUUUUACUAAAUUAAACAUUAAACUUACAUAAGUAUAUUUCAGGAAAGAUAAAAGCAAAAGGAAGGAAUUCGGCAAAUUUAAGUCUCGCCUGUUUACCAAAAACAUCACCUCUUGAUAGAAUAUAAGAGGCCCAGCCUGCCCAGUGAUUAAUUUAACGGCCGCGGUAUCCUAACCGUGCGAAGGUAGCAUAGUCAUUUGUUCUUUAAAUGGGGACUAGUAUGAAUGGCAUUACGAAGACUUUACUGUCUCCUUUUUGUAAUCAGUGAAACUGAUCUUCCCGUGAAGAAGCGGGAAUUAAUGUAUAAGACGAGAAGACCCUAUGAAGCUUUAAAUUGAGUAGCAGCUGCUAUUUUAUAUAUCAAUUUAGUUUAAGCAGAAUUUGACUAUCAGUUUUAGGUUGGGGUGACCGAGGAGUAGAAUAAAACCUCCUUAAUGAAGGGGAUAUCUCUAAUUUAAGAAUAACACUUCUAAAAAUCAAAAUAUUGACAUAAGUUGAUCCAGAUUUCUGAUCAAUGGACUAAGUUACUCUAGGGAUAACAGCGCAAUCCAUUUUCGAGAGCUCGUAUCGACAAUUGGGUUUACGACCUCCAUGU
This 2304-nucleotide non-coding RNA is filed under the name Arthroleptis cf. fichika DCB-2008. RNAcentral describes it as "partial contains 12S ribosomal RNA, tRNA-Val, and 16S ribosomal RNA". The stretch from base 1 to 932 matches the Rfam family "Bacterial small subunit ribosomal RNA". The record is from RNAcentral. Lineage: Eukaryota; Metazoa; Chordata; Amphibia; Anura; Arthroleptidae.